Molecule: ribosomal RNA, 370 nt
Filed under: uncultured Glomus
Lineage: Eukaryota; Fungi; Glomeromycota; Glomeromycetes; Glomerales; Glomeraceae
Description: partial 28S large subunit ribosomal RNA
Rfam family: Eukaryotic large subunit ribosomal RNA
Source: RNAcentral
CCCGAUUCCGUUUUUCGAUAUAGCGAUUCUAGUAGUCAAGUUGUUUGGGAUUGCAGCUUAAAUGGGAGGUAAAUUUCUCCUAAGGCUAAAUAACGGCGAGAGACCGAUAGCGAACAAGUACCGUGAGGGAAAGAUGAAAAGAACUUUGAAAAGAGAGUUAAACAGUACGUGAAAUUGUUGAAAGGGAAACGAUUGAAGCCAGUCGUACCUUCGGGUAAUCAGCCUUUCGGGUGCGAUUAUGUGGAGUGUGAGGAGCUUAAACACCUUCAUGUUUUGUAUAUUCGUACUCUUGGGGGUACUUGCCCGUGGGGUUGGUUAACAUCAAUUUUGGGGGUCAUAAAAUGACUGGAGAAAGGGGACCCUCCAAAAA